RNAcentral lists this ribosomal RNA (497 nucleotides) under uncultured bacterium. RNAcentral describes it as "partial 16S ribosomal RNA". It matches the Rfam family "Bacterial small subunit ribosomal RNA", at positions 28 to 507 of the family's 1533-position model. The record is from RNAcentral.
GAUGAACGCUGGCGGCGUGCCUAAUACAUGCAAGUCGAGCGAACAGACGAGGAGCUUGCUCCUCUGACGUUAGCGGCGGACGGGUGAGUAACACGUGGAUAACCUACCUAUAAGACUGGGAUAACUUCGGGAAACCGGCGCUAAUCCCGGAUAAUAUAUUGAACCGCAUGGUUCAAUAGUGAAAGACGGUUUUGCUGUCACUUAUAGAUGGAUCCGCGCCGCAUUAGCUAGUUGGUAAGGUAACGGCUUACCAAGGCGACGAUGCGUAGCCGACCUGAGAGGGUGAUCGGCCACACUGGAACUGAGACACGGUCCAGACUCCUACGGGAGGCAGCAGUAGGGAAUCUUCCGCAAUGGGCGAGAGCCUGACAGAGCAACGCCGCGUGAGUGAUGAAGGUCUUCGGAGCGUAAAACUCUGUUAUGAGGGAAGAACAAAUGUGUAAGUAACUAUGCACGUCUUGACGGUACCUGAUCAGAAAGCCACGGCUAACUACGUG